This is a long non-coding RNA of Sarcophilus harrisii (Tasmanian devil), 1285 nucleotides long. RefSeq lists it as uncharacterized. Lineage: Eukaryota; Metazoa; Chordata; Mammalia; Dasyuromorphia; Dasyuridae. The record is from RefSeq and is a predicted model, not a curated record. The transcript is spliced from 3 exons.
ACGGAAGCAAAUAAAAUAUUAUGUGACUUGCUCAGGGCCAGCUAUGUAGCUUGAAAAUGUUAGAGGCCAGAUUUGAACUGACAAAGAUGAAUCUUCCUGAAUCUGAGCCCAGUGCUCCGUCCACUUCAACACCUGGCUGACCUUUGUACCAUUUCUGAGGUGCACAUGUCCCUACUACGUCUUUAACAAUCAGCUCUCAUAGCAAGAGCUGUUACCAAUAGAGUCCUAAAAUAGAGAGCCCACGAGGUCCCUUCUGUCUUCCAAAUUCUGUGAUUCCUAUCCUUUGUAGUGCACACCUUCGACAAAUAAACCCAUUCCGGUUUUUUGCUGCUUUUGCUAUUAACAUCAAAAAUAUAAAAUAGGUAUGUAUACCUCUAGUAUAAAAUACAUAAUGAAGUUCUACAGGGGCAGAAGGUGGAUGGGAAAUGUAGAGGGGCAGGUAAGGUUUGAUGUCAGGAAAACAUGACUGACAGCGAAGCUCCCCCGGAGUGGCUGGGACUGGCUCAGGAGCCAAUAGGUUCUCCUCCUUCCAGCAAAGACUGGUUGACCACCUGGCACAGGGACGUUAUGGAAGGAAGCACCAGUUGGCUCAGAUGGCUUCGUAUCAAAUCAAAUGCAAACAAAAGUGAGUCUUUCUUUCCUUUGAUGUCCCUUUAGGUAGAUAUGUGCCUACUUCAACAUUGCUCAAAAUUGGCUCCAGAGUCAGAUUGGGAGCCAACCAUAUUCCUUUGUCUCUGUUGCAAAGGCCAGUUGAGCUGUACAGACAGGAUCAAGGUCCACUCUUCUGAGAAUGGGUUUGAAUUCCUCCCUGCGCAUAUUUCUACAGCAGGAAACACCCUUCUUGCAUCUCUUCUCUCAGGGUCAUGGGGCCCUGAGAGGAUCAAUCAAUGGAAAUGUCCAGAUGCAACACUGACCUUCGACCCCCAGGGGGUGGAGUGAGGGGAGUCAGUCAGUGAUCUUCAAAGUCAUCCAGGUUGAAAACAGUUGUUUGGGCAAUGGAUCACAUGAAUUACUCUGAUAUGGUGGACCCAGAACAGAGACUCGUCAAUCAAAGGAGAGGACCAGACGAAUAGAAAUAUCUCCAGGGCAAGAAGAUUACUCAUCUGGAGUAGUGGAGGAGGUGGGAAAGUCUGGAGAGUUAAGAAUGGAGCUGGGAGUGAAGUGAGUGAGGAGAGAGACAGAGACAGAGAGUCAGAGAAAGAGAGACAGAUACAGAGACACACUCACAGAUAGUGGCAGAGACAGAGAGAGAGAGAGAGAGAUACAGAGAUAUAGAGAAAUAGAG